Molecule: long non-coding RNA, 2204 nt
Organism: Mytilus trossulus (common blue mussel)
Lineage: Eukaryota; Metazoa; Mollusca; Bivalvia; Mytilida; Mytilidae
Exons: 5
Source: RefSeq, a predicted model, not a curated record
AGGUACUUUCUGUGGCAUGUUUUCAUGAUGUGGGAAUAAGACUUGGUGGUCAAAUACAGCUAAUAUGUAGGUUAGCACCACAGCUUGUCUGCAAGGAUUGAAGCUGGGAAACGGCCAUUGGAGCUGAAUUUUAUGGAAGCUGUGGCUGCAGCAAUGAUUAUGUGAUAAAACUGAAGAAUGUUAUUCAAAUUUUUUUUGUAUAUAUUUCAAAAAAUGUAAUUUUUUAUAAAAAAAAAAAAAAAAAAAAAAAAGGUGUAAAGAUUCUCCAUUUUCAAUUAGAUUGGAAGCUUGUAUUUACAAUUGUUAGAUCUUCUUCGUUAUUCCCCCACCCCCUGUAUCUCUAUUUCAUUUUUACUUUGAAAAUGAAAUGGAACAGACAAAUUUUACUUGUCAACUUAAUAAUGGUCUGUCUAGUCAAAAGGCCUCCAGUUGGUUUAGAAUGGAGAAUCUAAAAAAAAAUAUGUAAAGUGUUUUUUUUUUAGUUUCCUGAAUUUUUAUAUACAUUUUGUUAUUGCUCCCUUUCAAUUUUUAUAAAUUCCAGAUUUUAAGUUUUGGAUUUAUGGGGCUUUAUUCAUAAAAAAGGGGGAUUUUUCACACCUGGACAAUAACUCAAAAAGCCGCUUUCACCAAUGUCCAUGAAACUUUGGUGAAUUGUUUAUAUCUAUUGACAUAAGCUCCCUUUCCCUUUUUAUUAAUUUUAGAUUUUACGUUUUCUUAAGUAAUGAAUUUUUAUACUUAAAAAAGGGGGAUUUUAUGCAUUUUUGGUGAAACUUAAAAGAGCAACGGCCGUAUCAUGUUCUAAAGCGCAUCCCUUUAUUGAAAUGUGUUGUAGUUUUUACAUAUUAUUAUUUCUUUAUUUUAAUUAUACAAAUUUUGUAUUGUUAAAUAUUUAAAGGGUGUGGAGUCUCAACAGGGUGAAAUUUUCAGGACAAAAGGGAGGUAAUUCCUUUGUUAUACUCAUUAUACUUGAAAUUUCCUGAGUGUUUAUAUGGAAUAUAACUUUUUUAAUUAAAAUAUUCACUUUUGUACACAUUUUCUUUAAAUAUCAGAUGUAUACUUGCUAAAAUUACUAUUAUUUAGAGUUCUGUAAAUAAAAAAAAAUGUAAGCAGAGCUCUAGCUAUAGAUAAUAGAUUUGGAGGGUGGGAGAAAUUGUGGGUAACUACAAUUGAUUAGGUGAAAUUUCAAAAGACUUAAAAAGUGCAUCUGAUAUUUAUUUUUACAUAAUGUUAUUUCUGAAAGCAAAUGGACAAAUUAUAAGAUGAGGACAUAAACCACCUUCCAGGUUAGGAUAGCAGCUCUUAAGGAAGAUGGUCAAUUAAAUCUUCAACCCAGUCUGAGGCCUUACCAUGAAAAAUAUGUGGUUAGCAUCACAAGUUUCCUUUGGGUAACUUGCUUGAGGAGUAAAGAGAGCUGUUUAAGUUGAAAGUGUCACCUUUGAUGCCUUGUGUGGUACAAUCUUCAGACAAUAUCCUGCAAACCGUGGCUGAACUGUUACUAUCUUUUUUUAGUAGAAUCCUUAGACAGUAAUCUUGUGGCAGAAUGAGUUGUAAACAAAUUGUUUUUAUUCCUGUAUUGAGUUUCAAAUUGGAUAUUUUUUAUUUAUAUUAUUUGUAUUCCAUUUGCAUUCAAUUAUUGUUCUUUAAUUGAUGAAUCAUUAAAACUUAAAUUUUGCGGGGUCCUAAAGGACUUUCUUAGAGGGGGCCAGCGCAAUUGAUUAAACGAAAUUUUUCCCGCAACAGGGAGAGGAGACAUCCCCAUAAAUAUGCCUUUGAAAUGGGGUGUUAAAGAAGAUUUGUAUUGUUUGUUAGUUUUUCCAUCAUAAGCUCUCAUCCACAGCUUGGUAGAUUUUCAUUGAAACUUUCAGCUGAUUUUCUGUACUAAAGGCAGUAUGUUUUUUAAUUUAUUAUAAUGAAAUUUUGGGUUUUCCCAACCUUUUUGAAGUGAAAACAAUGGAACACAGUGUUGGCAGAUACUGAAGAUUAUUUGAAAGUUUAGAGAAAGUCCCAUUUAAUCUUGAUAAUUGUGGGUUAAAGUUGUAGAUGGAUAAACAAACAUAUCAUACACUUACUCACUUUACCUAUUUGCGAAUCCAGAACUUAACAUAAAGGGGCCCAACACCAGUCAUUUCCUGUACAAUCAACCAAAUUUUUCCUCCGAAAGGGGUUUGGGGGGGGGGGGGAUAUUUAAUAAAGAUUAAUAUGCU